CAGGACGAACGCUGGCGGCGUGCUUCAUACAUGCAAGUCGAACGAGAAAUUACCUUCGGGUAAUGGAAAGUGGCGGACGGGUGAGUAAUAUGUAGAGAAUCUGCCUUCAAGCGGGGGAUAGCAGUUGGAAACGACUAUUAAUACCCCAUAUGAGCGUAACUGAAAUGUUAUUCUUGAAAAACUCCGGUGCUUGGAGAUGAGUCUGCAUCUGAUUAGCUAGUUGGGGGUGUAAUGGACCACCAAGGCGACGAUCAGUAGCUGGUUUGAGAGGAUGAUCAGCCACAAUGGGACUGAGACACGGCCCAUACUCCUACGGGAGGCAGCAGUAGGGAAUUUUGCGCAAUGGGCGAAAGCCUGACGCAAGCAACGCCGCGUGAUCGAGACGCUUUUCGGAGUGUAAAGAUCUGUCACAGGGGACGAACGAUGACGGUACCCUGAGAGGAAGCACCGGCUAACUCCGUGCCAGCCGCCGC
Molecule: ribosomal RNA, 473 nt
Filed under: uncultured bacterium
Lineage: Bacteria
Description: bacterial SSU rRNA
Rfam family: Bacterial small subunit ribosomal RNA
Source: RNAcentral